GUAGGUGGCAAGCGUUGUCCGGAGUUAUUGGGCGUAAAGCGCGCGCAGGUGGUUCUUUAAGUCUGAUGUGAAAGCCCCCGGCUCAACCGGGGAGGGUCAUUGGAAACUGGGGAACUUGAGUGCAGGAGAGGAAAGUGGAAUUCCACGUGUAGCGGUGAAAUGCGUAGAUAUGUGGAGGAACACCAGUGGCGAAGGCGACUUUCUGGCCUGUAACUGACACUGAGGCGCGAAAGCGUGGGGAGCAAACAGGGAUUAGAUACCCUGGUAGUCCACGCCGUAAACGAUGAGUGCUAAGUGUUGGGGGGGUUUCCCGCCCCUCAGUGCUGCAGCUAACGCAUUAAGCACUCCGCCUGGGGAUACGGCCGCAAGACUG
Molecule: ribosomal RNA, 373 nt
Filed under: uncultured organism
Description: partial 16S ribosomal RNA
Rfam family: Bacterial small subunit ribosomal RNA
Source: RNAcentral